GCAGUCAGUGAUGAUUUUGUUUCAAAGUUUGCCUGAUUUCACCCUAGAAUAUGAAGGCAACUCUAGUCACUACCUCUUCUGAGACCC
Molecule: small nucleolar RNA, 87 nt
Organism: Hemicordylus capensis (graceful crag lizard)
Lineage: Eukaryota; Metazoa; Chordata; Lepidosauria; Squamata; Cordylidae
Product: small nucleolar RNA SNORD11
Exons: 1
Source: RefSeq, a predicted model, not a curated record